UUUUAAAUAUAAAUGUGUCCUAUGCAAUAUUUGGGACAUAUUUAUACUAAAA
This is a microRNA precursor of Pan troglodytes (chimpanzee), 52 nucleotides long. It matches the Rfam family "mir-1302 microRNA precursor family". The record is from Rfam. NCBI's taxonomy places the organism in Eukaryota, Metazoa, Chordata, Mammalia, Primates, Hominidae.